This 48-nucleotide non-coding RNA is filed under the name Schistosoma mansoni. Lineage: Eukaryota; Metazoa; Platyhelminthes; Trematoda; Strigeidida; Schistosomatidae. The record is from RNAcentral.
AUCCAGAUGACGAGUCUCGAAUAGGACGAAACGCGCGUCAAACUGGAU